Molecule: ribosomal RNA, 926 nt
Filed under: uncultured Streptococcus sp.
Lineage: Bacteria; Bacillati; Bacillota; Bacilli; Lactobacillales; Streptococcaceae
Description: bacterial SSU rRNA
Rfam family: Bacterial small subunit ribosomal RNA
Source: RNAcentral
UAGAGUUUGAUCAUGGCUCAGGACGAACGCUGGCGGCGUGCCUAAUACAUGCAAGUAGAACGCUGAAGAGAGGAGCUUGCUCUUCUUGGAUGAGUUGCGAACGGGUGAGUAACGCGUAGGUAACCUGCCUUGUAGCGGGGGAUAACUAUUGGAAACGAUAGCUAAUACCGCAUAACAAUGGAUGACACAUGUCAUUUAUUUGAAAGGGGCAAUUGUUCCACUACAAGAUGGACCUGCGUUGUAUUAGCUAGUAGGUGAGGUAAUGGCUCACCUAGGCGACGAUACAUAGCCGACCUGAGAGGGUGAUCGGCCACACUAGGACUGAGACACGGCCCAGACUCCUACGGGAGGCAGCAGUAGGGAAUCUUCGGCAAUGGGGGCAACCCUGACCGAGCAACGCCGCGUGAGUGAAGAAGGUUUUCGGAUCGUAAAGCUCUGUUGUAAGUCAAGAACGGGUGUGAGAGUGGAAAGUUCACACUGUGACGGUAGCUUACCAGAAAGGGACGGCUAACUACGUGCCAGCAGCCGCGGUAAUACGUAGGUCCCGAGCGUUGUCCGGAUUUAUUGGGCGUAAAGCGAGCGCAGGCGGUUUGAUAAGUCUGAAGUUAAAGGCUGUGGCUCAACCAUAGUUCGCUUUGGAAACUGUCAAACUUGAGUGCAGAAGGGGAGAGUGGAAUUCCAUGUGCAGCGGUGAAAUGCGUAGAUAUAUGGAGGAACACCGGUGGCGAAAGCGGCUCUCUGGUCUGUAACUGACGCUGAGGCUCGAAAGCGUGGGGAGCGAACAGGAUUAGAUACCCUGGUAGUCCACGCCGUAAACGAUGAGUGCUAGGUGUUGGAUCCUUUCCCGGGAUUCAGUGCCGCGGCUAACGCAUUAAGCACUCCGCCUGGGGAGUACGACCGCAAGGUUGAAACUCAAAGGAAUUGAC